GCCUUCGUGGUGUAGUGGUCAGCACGCUCGACGCGUAACCGAGAGGUCCGCGGUUCGAUUCCCGGGCAAGGCG
Molecule: transfer RNA, 73 nt
Filed under: Stegodyphus mimosarum
Lineage: Eukaryota; Metazoa; Arthropoda; Arachnida; Araneae; Eresidae
Rfam family: tRNA
About the family: Transfer RNA (tRNA) molecules are approximately 80 nucleotides in length. Their secondary structure includes four short double-helical elements and three loops (D, anti-codon, and T loops). Further hydrogen bonds mediate the characteristic L-shaped molecular structure. tRNAs have two regions of fundamental functional importance: the anti-codon, which is responsible for specific mRNA codon recognition, and the 3' end, to which the tRNAs corresponding amino acid is attached (by aminoacyl-tRNA synthetases). tRNAs cope with the degeneracy of the genetic code in two manners: having more than one tRNA (with a specific anti-codon) for a particular amino acid; and 'wobble' base-pairing, i.e. permitting non-standard base-pairing at the 3rd anti-codon position.
Source: Rfam by way of RNAcentral